UACGGGGGGAGCAAGCGUUGUUCGGAUUUACUGGGCGUAAAGGGCGCGUAGGCGGUCAGCACAAGUCAGUUGUGAAAUCUCCGGGCUUAACUCGGAAAGGUCAACUGAUACUGUGCGACUAGAGUGCGGAAGGGGCAACUGGAAUUCUCGGUGUAGCGGUGAAAUGCGUAGAUAUCGGAAGGAACAUCAGUGGCGAAAGCGGCUUCCUGGACCAGUACCGACGUUCAGGCACGAAAGCGUGGGGAGCAAACAGG
Molecule: ribosomal RNA, 254 nt
Filed under: uncultured bacterium
Lineage: Bacteria
Description: partial 16S ribosomal RNA
Rfam family: Bacterial small subunit ribosomal RNA
Source: RNAcentral